Molecule: long non-coding RNA, 369 nt
Filed under: Solanum tuberosum (potato)
Lineage: Eukaryota; Viridiplantae; Streptophyta; Magnoliopsida; Solanales; Solanaceae
Description: long non-coding RNA (STUB_LNC009859)
Source: RNAcentral
UUGAUUUGGUUCCAAGGACUUACAUUGAUUGGCUAAGUAUGGACGGCGUUCCAUGGACAUUUAUGAGUGUGGAUCGAUUAGGACUCUUUCAGCAGCUACAUUGGCACCUUUAUAGAGCAUCCGGUUAGAGUUCCGGCCUCUUAUACUUGUUACUUGUGAUUGGUUACUUGGGUACUUCUUGUGAGCAUCCGGUUCGAGGUCCGGCCUCUCUUGCCCAGAUACUUAUAUAGAGCAUCCGGUUCGAGGUCCGGCCUCUCUUGCCCAGAUACUUAUAUAGAGCAUCCGGUUCGAGGUCCGGCCUCUAUUGCCCAGAUACUUAUAUAGAGCAUCCGGUUCGAGGUCCGGCCUCUAUUGCCCAGAUACUUAUAU